GGGGAUUUAGCUCAGCAGACAUAAGCGCCUGCCUCACAAGCAGGCAGUCAUGAAUUCAUGAAUCCCUG
Molecule: transfer RNA, 68 nt
Filed under: Cavia porcellus (domestic guinea pig)
Lineage: Eukaryota; Metazoa; Chordata; Mammalia; Rodentia; Caviidae
Rfam family: tRNA
About the family: Transfer RNA (tRNA) molecules are approximately 80 nucleotides in length. Their secondary structure includes four short double-helical elements and three loops (D, anti-codon, and T loops).
Source: Rfam by way of RNAcentral